Molecule: long non-coding RNA, 1553 nt
Filed under: Salmo salar (Atlantic salmon)
Lineage: Eukaryota; Metazoa; Chordata; Actinopteri; Salmoniformes; Salmonidae
Description: lncRNA (ENSSSAG00000085918.1)
Source: RNAcentral
UUUCAUUAGACAUUUAAGAUAUAGAAAUUAAAUUAGACUGUGGUUUUGGGUCUCACUGUAUAGUCUACUCAACAGCUGGAAGAGAGAGUUUACAAUGUGAUAAUAGAGUCCAAAAUCAACACAAGUUAGAUGGGUGGUUUGGAUGACCUACUUAGUGUGAUUUCCACUGUUGUCUCGCCUGAAACGGCUAAAAGAAUCUUAUUACAACAAACACAUACACACACACACAAUGUAAUUACUGCAGGGAUUUGAGCAACGUUGACUGACUGCUCGACUCCACAGGCGGUGUGUUAAGUCACUGCGUUCUCACGUUCAACACUCAACGGGAGUGGUGCAAAUAAAGCUAAUUAGAUUCCAGUGAAUUACUGCUGUUGAAAUGCACAAACCGCCAGGGACUGAAAGUGAAAAAUUGCCAGUAUGAUACAUGAAAGCUGCAAUGUCAGUGCUGCAAAGCCAUUGUAUUACAGUAUCUUCAUUUUGUCCUUGAAGCGGUGCCCUCCAACCAGAAGUCAUCACAUUCUUUAAAGUAUUGCCGUCAUUAUCAAGGGGGAAAACCUUGGCUCUCUAUAUCAAGAUCCACAGAUGGCGCAAUCUCAAUUGUACUUUACACUGCCCUCUCCCACCUGGACAAGAGGGGAAAUAACUAUGUGAGAAUGCUUUUCAUAGACUACAGCUCAAGGUUCAACACUAUAGUUCCCUCCAAGCUAAUUACCAAGCUCAGGACCCUGGGACUGAACACCUCCAUCUUCAACUGGAUCCUGGACUUACUGACGGGCCAACCCCAGGUGGUUAGUGUAGGCAACAACACCUCCGCCUCGCUGACCUUCAACACGGGGGCUCCUCAGGCGUGCGUGCUUAGUUUCUUCCUGUACUACCUGUUCACACACGACUGCGUGGCCACGCACGACUCUAACACCAUCAUCAAGUUUGCUGAUGAUGGUGGUAGACAUGAUCGCCGACGGUGAUAAGAUGGCCUACAGGGAGGAGGGCAGAAACUUGGCAGUGUGGUGCCAGGACAACGACCUCUCCUUCAAUGUCAGUAAGACCAAGGAGCUGAUCGUGGACUGCAGGAGAAAGAGGGGAGAGCACUCCCCCAUCCGCAUCGACUGGGCUGUAAUGGAGUGGGACGAGAGCUUCUAGUUCCUCGGAUCCAGAUCACUAAGGACUUAACAUGCUUCACACACACCCUCAUAGUCAUGAAAAGGGCACAACAGCGCCUCUUACCCUUCAGGAGGCUGAAAAUAUUUGGCAUGGGCCCUCGGAUCCUCAAAAGUUCUACAGCUGCACCAUCGAGAGCAUAUUGACUGGCAAAUGCUCCGCCCUCGACUGUCGGUGGUGCAGAUGGCCCAGUACACACUGGGGCCGAGCUCCCUGCCAUCCAGGACCUCUAUAUCAGGUGGUGUAGAGAAGAAGGCCAGAAAUGUAUAGACUUCAGCCACCUGAUAGACUGAUCCCUCCCCCACCGUUCGGCAAAUGGUACCGGAGGAUUGGUUCUCGGACCAGCACGCUCCGAGACAGCUUCUAUCCCCAAUCAAUAAAAAUGCAAAAUAACC